Non-coding RNA from Drosophila melanogaster (fruit fly), 245 nucleotides. NCBI's taxonomy places the organism in Eukaryota, Metazoa, Arthropoda, Insecta, Diptera, Drosophilidae. The record is from Ensembl.
GAUACCAAGAGUGAGGGAAGAGAAACUGCGAAUAAAACGAUCUUCAUUUGUCUAAGCCAAUGAGCGUUGUUGUUUAUGUUGUUUAUGUACAAAGUAGCGCGCCCACUCAGUAUCGACAUCUGAUCACCGAUGGAAGAUCGGCAGCCGAGUACUCAGCGCUCCAAGCGACUAAUCACCGCGCAACAAGCAGCGGAGUAUAAUUACCUUCCCAUCUUGUAACUAGUGCAUAUAAUAAACCACCGAUU